AGGAGCACCUCUACCCUUUCCCAUCCAGAAGGAACAGUUAAUCAGGGUCUGUACCCGCGUGGCCAUGUUCUCCUCUUGGAUUACCAUAGAUGGACAAUCUCAGAUACUCAGAUGCAGUGGAAUUCAAGCAUGAAACUAAACAGCUUCUCAGAUAUUAUCUAUUCAGCCAUCUGCUUGACACACAAUGGAUAACCUUCCAGAUUCAUGGAGCUGCAUCUGCCUUUUAAUCCUGUUGUAGUUUCCAUGAAAAUAAACUGAAGGCAUUACUUUUGGAGCAACCAAUGUGUAUGUGGCCCAAAACCAUUCCUCUUCACUCAGUACAGCCCAGGCAAGCCAAGAGGUUGGACAGCCGUGCUCUAAGGCUUCUGCUCAUCCAAUAGAGACUGCAAGGACUUCAGGUGAUCUUCGCCUCCUACUGAACCAGAGUGAGCACUGAGCAUCCUCAGGAAACUGCUCAAUGGCGACUUGCUAAGAGAGAAUUGUUUACUGAGGUUAUCCAGCAUAUAAUUUAAAUAGUGAGUACAAAAAAAUCAUCAUCUGCCUGUGGAGAGCAGAACAAGAAGCCAAAGUCACAAAGCAGAUUCAUCCAGCUCUGCUGGGAUUUCUGAAUGGGGAAAUGGGGACCUGCUUGUGAUAGGCUUUGAUUUAGAGCAUCUAAUCUUUUGUUGCUAUGAAUGCCAAAUUUUCCCAUAAGUACAUUAGCAGAUUGCAAAGAACUAAAACUGUGCUUUUAAACUGACCAGUGUAUUCACAUACGUUCAGGUUAUUGGUGAGAAUUUUUGAUUUAUGGACUAUAGAAAAAACAUAUUCUAAUAUCAGUGCCAUUUGCCAUUCUGUUGUUACAAACUGUACCUGGUGCAGAAAUGGCAAAAGACAGCUAUACCAAUUUGGCAAUUGUAAAUUUAAGCAACUGAUUUCUUUAGUGUUAAAAUGUCAUUCCUUGAUGGGAAAAAUAAAUAAAUGAAUAAAUACAUCCAAACCCAAGAGCUGCAUUAAAAAAAAACGAGAGGUAGACCUGCAGAAAUUAACAAGGUGGCAGGUGGCACAGAGAAUGCCUUCAACAUGUCUUGUGCAGAUACUAUAGGACCAGCUACAUCAGUGCUAGGAGUAGGAAAGGAAAGCAGGACAGAAGUCAGUGAGUAUGGAUGCUUUCACUACUGAGCUGUGCCCUGGAGACUGUAAAUUGAGUCAAACAGCUUUGGGCAGAUUGAGCAAUAGGCAUAUGCUAACAAGUAUAGAUGAAAUACUGUAAAACCAAGUGUUAGGGUGCUGUUUCAUAAUCAGUGUAAAGACAGGUCUGCACCUUCCGCCUUUGUGCCAGUGUCAGAAUUCAUUUGCUGGGUGGGAUGGUCCCCAUCCCCAGGACUGAUUUUGACUUCAUGACUUAUUCGGGUGGUGAAAUUGUCUACAAUUACUUUGUCCACAAAUUAGUUUUGACCCAAAGCCUGGAAACAUCAGUAGAAUACAAACAUCCUUGUUCGAGUGAAUUUUGAAUUGAAGGCUCGUAAGUAAUUUGACUCAAAUGACCAGACUUUGUGAAUGCGCCCAUGAUUCAAUUCCAUCCAAGCCUGGGUUUGGCAUCAAGUGAUGCGACUCCUGAAAAGAACAUUCUGAGUCCUUUUAAUGCAUCUUUUGGUAUUAUAAUUUGAGCUGUACAUUCUCAAGGCAUUUUCUCUGGGUCCAGCUUGCAGUUUUGAUUAUUCUUAUGCAAGAAUUGUGACUCUCAUAUCAAUCACAAGACUGCAGAAGCUGGGCUUUGGGGGAAAAUUCAGAACUUUUACUGCUACGGCAAACCAAAUAUGUAUUUGAUAGUAAUGGACUGUAAUCGGAAAUGCUGUGUCUACCAGAAGCCAGUCUCAAAAUUAUUUCGACUUGAAAUAUCUUCUCUGAAUAGCUAAAAAAAAGGGAAAAGUUUAUAUUCUAAUAUCAUCAGGAUCAAUACUGGACAACUUAGGACCUCCUACAUUUGGCCUAUGACUGUAAGUAACCAUUAUUUGUAUCACUGCUAUCACAUAAUCCAUGUUUGUGUGGCUGUUCUA
Molecule: long non-coding RNA, 2039 nt
Organism: Lagopus muta (rock ptarmigan)
Lineage: Eukaryota; Metazoa; Chordata; Aves; Galliformes; Phasianidae
Exons: 3
Source: RefSeq, a predicted model, not a curated record